UGGGGAAUCUUGGGCAAUGGGGGAAACCCUGACCCAGCGACGCCGCGUGGGGGAUGAAGGCUUUCGGGUCGUAAACCCCUGUUAGGUGGGACGAAUGUCCUCCUGCAAAUAGUUGGGGGAUUUGACGGUACCACCAGAGAAAGCCCCGGCUAACUCCGUGCCAGCAGCCGCGGUAAUACGGAGGGGGCGAGUGUUGUUCGGAAUUACUGGGCGUAAAGGGCGCGCAGGCGGCUUGGCAAGUCGAGUGUGAAAUCCCUUGGCUUAACUGAGGAAUGGCGCUCGAAACUACCUCGCUGGAGGGCGGGAGAGGGAAGUGGAACUCUCGGUGUAGGGGUGAAAUCUGUAGAUAUCGAGAGGAACACCGGUGGCGAAGGCGGCUUCCUGGCCCGUACCUGACGCUGAGGCGCGAAAGCGUGGGGAGCAAACAG
This 428-nucleotide ribosomal RNA is filed under the name uncultured bacterium. RNAcentral describes it as "bacterial SSU rRNA". It matches the Rfam family "Bacterial small subunit ribosomal RNA", at positions 355 to 775 of the family's 1533-position model. The record is from RNAcentral.